CAAAACGACUCUCGGCAACGGAUAUCUCGGCUCUCGCAUCGAUGAAGAACGUAGCGAAAUGCGAUACUUGGUGUGAAUUGCAGAAUCCCGUGAACCAUCGAGUCUUUGAACGCAAGUUGCGCCCAAAGCCUUCUGGUUGAGGGCACGUCUGCCUG
Molecule: ribosomal RNA, 155 nt
Filed under: Clusia croatii
Lineage: Eukaryota; Viridiplantae; Streptophyta; Magnoliopsida; Malpighiales; Clusiaceae
Description: 5.8S ribosomal RNA
Rfam family: 5.8S ribosomal RNA
About the family: 5.8S ribosomal RNA (5.8S rRNA) is a component of the large subunit of the eukaryotic ribosome.
Source: RNAcentral